RNAcentral lists this ribosomal RNA (253 nucleotides) under uncultured bacterium. RNAcentral describes it as "partial 16S ribosomal RNA". It matches the Rfam family "Bacterial small subunit ribosomal RNA", at positions 524 to 776 of the family's 1533-position model. The record is from RNAcentral.
UACGUAGGGGGCAAGCGUUGUCCGGAUUUAUUGGAAUUAAAGGGUGCGUAGGCGGUUUAUUAAGUCAGUGGUGAAAGACGAUAGCUUAACUAUCGAGGUGCCAUUGAUACUGAUGAACUUGAGUGCACACGAGGUAAGCGGAAUGGACGGUGUAGUGGUGAAAUGCAUAGAUAUCGUCCAGAACACCGAUAGUGAAGACAUCUUACCAGAGUGCAACUGACGCUGAGGCAAGAAAGUGUGGGGAUCAAACAGG